AACGAACGCUGGCGGCGUGCUUAACACAUGCAAGUCGAACGCGAAAGGGACUUCGGUCCUGAGUAAGUGGCGCACGGGUGAGUAACGCGUAGAUAACCUGUCUUCAUGUCUGGAAUAAUACGCCGAAAGGGGUACUAAUACCGGAUAUUCUUGCUUUUCAUAAGUUAUGCAAGCAAAGGUGGCCUCUGCAUAUGCUACUGCAUGAAGAGGGGUCUGCGUACCAUUAGCUAGUAGGUGGGGUAAUGGCCUACCUAGGCGACGAUGGUUAGCGGGUCUGAGAGGAUGAUCCGCCACACUGGCACUGGAACACGGGCCAGACUCCUACGGGAGGCAGCAGUGAGGAAUAUUGCGCAAUGGGGGAAACCCUGACGCAGCGACGCCGCGUGAGUGAGGAAAGGCCUUCGGGUCGUAAAGCUCUGUCAAGAGGAAAGAAGUGUACAAUGGCUAAUACCUGUUGUAUUUGACGGUACCUCUAAAGGAAGCACCGGCUAACUCCGUGCCAGCAGCUGC
Molecule: ribosomal RNA, 510 nt
Filed under: uncultured bacterium
Lineage: Bacteria
Description: bacterial SSU rRNA
Rfam family: Bacterial small subunit ribosomal RNA
Source: RNAcentral